CGCGCAGCUCGCGAAGCGGCUGCGGCUCGCCGCGCGGCGGCUGCGCGGCGACGACGACGCGCGCGCCGGGUUCGAUGCCAGCCUGCGCGA
Molecule: transfer RNA, 90 nt
Filed under: Burkholderia cenocepacia
Lineage: Bacteria; Pseudomonadati; Pseudomonadota; Betaproteobacteria; Burkholderiales; Burkholderiaceae
Description: tRNA-???(cg)
Source: RNAcentral